Long non-coding RNA from Mauremys reevesii (Reeves's turtle), 854 nucleotides. RefSeq lists it as uncharacterized. NCBI's taxonomy places the organism in Eukaryota, Metazoa, Chordata, Testudines, Geoemydidae. The record is from RefSeq and is a predicted model, not a curated record. The transcript has 3 exons.
GAGGGUAUGUCCCCUAUCUGCCUCGCUGGCUGAAGUCACACAGGCCUCGGCUGGUACGUUUGCAUGCCUGCUGAUGGAUGUCCUGUGAAAGGCCUCCCUGCAGAUCAAAAAAUAAGUGGAUGUGCCUGCUGACGCUGCAUUCUGUCUCAGCACUGGCUGCAUUCAGGUUCAGCCAAGUCUGCUACCUCAACCAUCUUUGGAGCUCUCCCACAGGUACUCUACUAGACAAUGCCAAGGUCUCUUCCAGGUAAUCUGUUAUUUUAUUGCCUACUGGGUUCAGUGCCAGGAUCUCCUUACAGAGAUCAAACUCUUCUGCUGGCAUGGAAUCCCAGCCUGGAAUUUCAGGGAGUCUUUUCCCCUGUGGAAGAAAAAUGACCAGGCCUUAUCCCCCAUUAAUUAAGAAUUGCCGUAUCUACCUGUGCACUGCUGUCACCUAGUCACAGCCUAGAGAAUGAGCACCCCUUCCCAUGAUGUUGUCAACUGGUGUCAUAAUGUCCAUGAUGACAAGGCAGCAACAACUGUAUCAGCAGCAGAUUGUUUUGUCUGAUGAGAAAUGGAGGCGCUUGUCUUGACACUGUAGAUUGGGUGCCGUGGGGCAGAGUGGGCUGACUCACAGCAGCUCGGUGAGCUGGGACUUCUCCUCAGAGGAGGCACGUUCCGUGCCAGAAUCUCCGCUUUCAAUAUUAAUACAAGUUUUUAGCAAAGAGAACCUUCAAAAUGUGAACCAUGUAACCCCUGUAGUGCUGUCUGCAGAGACCCUGAAAUGGCGCUGCUGAGAGAGCUCUGACUGCUCCCAUUCAUCUUGAAGGUGCUCGGAAGCCUUAGGUUGAGGAUUAAAAUGUUAAGAUUGUUAA